Molecule: long non-coding RNA, 1425 nt
Organism: Schistocerca cancellata (South American locust)
Lineage: Eukaryota; Metazoa; Arthropoda; Insecta; Orthoptera; Acrididae
Exons: 3
Source: RefSeq, a predicted model, not a curated record
AUGGCUCUACCAGCUGAAUACUGUCGUCUGUAUUGUCCGCCAACCGCCAUGUUCGAAUUUGGCAAGAACUUUUUGCCAAGAAGUUUCUCUCGGUCUGCACGGUGUAUAAGGAAUUAAGGAUUAUCGAAAUGGUGAUUUCUUGUUCCGCUUUCAAUUGUACGCAGCGAUGGAGUAAGGAAAGUGACUUACCAUUUCCCAGGUUUCCUCUAAAGCACCCAGAGCUGCUAAAGAAGUGGAUUACUUCCGUGAAGCGGAAAGGUUUUAAUCCUACGUCUUGCAGUCUUCUUUGCGGAAACCAUUUCCGACAAGAUGAUUACGUACUGAGCCCUGGAACGUGGAAGAAACGUCUCAAACCCGAAGCAGUGCCAUCAGUUAUUGACUUUCCGACACAUUUCAUGCCACCAAAUAAACAGCCACGGCGACAUGUUGUUAGGAUUUUGAGUGACAACUAUUCAUCUCCAUUUGAGCGUUCUGUCAUGGAAUCCGUGCUCGAUUUGCCCCCUGCAGAAGCUACUGAUAGCGUGGAGAAUGUUGUCAAUGAGAAUUCUUCCGUGGAAAGCACGUCCCAUUUAUCCAAUGCAGAAGCUGCGAAUUGUGUCGAAAACGCUAGUAUAAUGAUGUUUUCACAACCCCAGUUUUCUUAUAAUAUUUUUUCAUCAAGCCUUGAGUUAUUUCAUUCAUAUAUAACGAAAUUAUUUCUUUAUUUCAGAGUGCAGUUGGUUCUUCAGUAAUUGGUUGUGGUAUACAGUCGAAAGUAGAAAUGGAAGACUAGGCGACCGAAACUUGCUAUUUUUUCUCAGGCAUUGUGCACGAAUUAAAACGCAAACCGAAGUGCGUCCGUGAAAAACUUCGAAGAAGAGAAAAGAAAGUGUUUUCCAUGGAUGACAUCACAAGUUCAUUGAAGGAGAAGGGGCAUCUUCCUGAGAAGUUACAUAACUUCCUCAAUCAUCAGGAAGGAACACAAGUGGAAUUAGUGUGCAAUUUAGUGAACAAUUCUCUCUCGUCAAAGGGUAAUACACAACAAAUGUGAAAAAUGCUUGUGAUGACUGUGUACUUUUAUUCACCAGCAGCAUAUGAAUACCUGCAAAAGUUAAUGCCCCUGCCCCAUAAAUCAUUCAUUUCCAAAUGGGUGGCAAGUGUUUUUAAGUACAUUGAUUUAAAUCCAAUUGUAAGGGACCAGUUCAGCGACUCAUGUCUAAUUGUAGACAGUAUGGCAGUUAGGAAGCAAAUAGUUUGGGACCAAGGAACUAAGCAAUACACAGGUUUUUUAGACUUUGGUGGGGAAGUGCCUCAGUCAAAAGAAGUAAUAGAGGCAUCUGAGGCUCUGGUUUUCAUGCUUGUCUCUAUUAAAGGCAAAUUUAAAUGCCCGAUUGCAUAUUUCUUUAUAAACGGUGUACAUGCAAUUAAUCAGGCCACACUGAUAAA